AUUACUGCUGCACGUUUGCUAUUCCCAGUGGGAACAACGCCCGUAUUGAUUUUGUUGGCUCCGACUGCUAUAUUUGUCUUGGAGAAAAGGUGUACGCAUACAGAAAAGGUGUUAUUUUAUCGAAAUCUAGUAUGCAGCCGUCCGCGAAACGCGCACAAACACUCUGAAAUAGCGCGGGGAAAGGACCGACGCGCAACAAACGGCGCUGCUCCGGCGCCGCAGCGGGGCAGGUCUCGUUGCACGCCGGCCCUACCCAGGGCUCUCUAUCCCGUUUCCUCCACGGCAUAUUUCUUUGGAGGCCUCCAGACCAGACGCUCGUUUUCUGUCGCGCCGUCUAGAACUGACGAUAGCUGUAAUGCCGUACCUCUGACGGUCACGGACGGAGAGAGCCGCGGAGAGCGGGUGCCGGCGGGCUCCGUCCUGACUGCGGCUGCGGGCCAAGCCCGACGCGGGACGCGGGCGAGCGCUUCUCCCGGCCGGAGCCCGCGGGGCGCUCGCCUCCCCAGCACUCGGCCAGCGGCAGCCCAGGUCGUCCCGCCGCGGACGGGGGCAGAGGGGGCCUUGCGGGAGUCCCGAGGGGAAACCACCGUGCUUGGCUCCCGGGCUGGGACCGGACGGUCCCGCUGCGCGCCCCGAUUCCGAUUCGCAGCGGCGAUUCCCGGGGAAGAGGAGAAGCUUCCGGCAGCCGGGGUCCCCGGACAUCGCCCUGCAGGGCUCUGUCGGCCACAUCGCGGCGGCGCGGGCCCUCGAGAUCCCCCCGCCCCACACCCCGCCAUCCGGUCGACGCGACGGGCGCACGGCGGCCCGGGCCGGGGGACGGCAUGGGCAGCAGCCCGAGCCCCACGGGGAGAUGCCCGUAAGCCGUUUCCAGACGAGCGAGGAGGGCCGGGCCGGGGCGUCCCGGGACUGACAGGGUCCCGCGUCCGCCAGCGAGGACACUCGGGGACCCGACGGGCGCGUCGGACCCUCCCGCUCGGCGUGCCCGGGGCGGGGAGCGAGAACGGAGCGGGAACGGAGCGGGAACGGAGCGCGCCUACGGCCGGCCCGCGGCGCCCCGUUCCCGGCGUAGCGGAGGCUGCGCGCCCGCGCCCAGCCCCGGCCGGGACAACCGGCUCCGCCGCCCCUGCGGCUGGGCUGGCUUCCGUCGCGCCGUUCUAA
Molecule: long non-coding RNA, 1158 nt
Filed under: Anser brachyrhynchus (Pink-footed goose)
Lineage: Eukaryota; Metazoa; Chordata; Aves; Anseriformes; Anatidae
Description: lncRNA (ENSABRG00000017477.1)
Source: RNAcentral